This 450-nucleotide ribosomal RNA is filed under the name uncultured bacterium. Its description in RNAcentral is "partial 16S ribosomal RNA". It matches the Rfam family "Bacterial small subunit ribosomal RNA", at positions 354 to 796 of the family's 1533-position model. The record is from RNAcentral.
GUGGGGAAUCUUCCGCAAUGGGCGAAAGCCUGACGGAGCAACGCCGCGUGAGUGAAGACGGCCUUCGGGUUGUAAAGCUCUGUUAUACGGGACGAAUGGUACGACGGCCAAUACCCGUCGUAAGUGACGGUACCGUAAGAGAAAGCCACGGCUAACUACGUGCCAGCAGCCGCGGUAAUACGUAGGUGGCAAGCGUUGUCCGGAAUUAUUGGGCGUAAAGGGCGCGCAGGCGGCGUCGUAAGUCGGUCUUAAAAGUGCGGGGCUUAACCCCGUGAGGGGACCGAAACUGCGAUGCUAGAGUAUCGGAGAGGAAAGCGGAAUUCCUAGUGUAGCGGUGAAAUGCGUAGAUAUUAGGAGGAACACCAGUGGCGAAAGCGGCUUUCUGGACGACAACUGACGCUGAGGCGCGAAAGCCAGGGGAGCAAACGGGAUUAGAAACCCGUGUAGUCC